Long non-coding RNA from Heteronotia binoei (common prickly gecko), 471 nucleotides. RefSeq lists it as uncharacterized. The transcript is spliced from 3 exons. NCBI's taxonomy places the organism in Eukaryota, Metazoa, Chordata, Lepidosauria, Squamata, Gekkonidae. The record is from RefSeq and is a predicted model, not a curated record.
UUCUGGGGUGCAGCCGCAGGCCCCGUCGGAGAGGCCCUCCACGGCCAACCCCUUCUUCUGCUUGCGGGGCAAAAGCCCCCAGUCCAUCCUUGAAAGGGAGGUCCACGAAGCCCAGGAGCGAGAGCGGGAACUCCAAAGGCAGAGGCUCAAGAUCUACGGCUCGGCGCUCCCCCGGCAGCCUGAAGAAGCUUCAGAUCUGGACGAGGAGGUGCCUUUUCAGCCAGAGAGACCCCUCUGCAAGAAAUUGGAUGUGACCUGGCCCCCACCCAGCCCGUCUGAGCCCUGCCAGGUGAACGGCCUCCACCAGCUGGAGAGAAGCCCUCGGAGUCGUCAAAAGAGUCCCUUAAUCCAGCGCUGGGAGUCGGGGACUGUUGGCAGCCAGGAGAGCCAGGAUUAGAGGCUGGCUGUGGCAAGAAGAGGACCGGGGCUGCAGCUGGAAGACUCCUGAGGCUCACAAAUGCCUUCCCCCAA